GCUUUGAGUUUUGAAGCCACUAGUUCACCUAACCUUGAGUGGGACUCCUAGUUAAAAAACCAAAAGAUACAGCCAUGAAAAUGAACUAGGAGAGACAGUUUAACGUGGGUGUCCAGGCCAGCUUGCGCGCACCUCGACUAAUCCCGCGGGUCCUGAAGUUAACGACCAUGUAAGCCUUCAGUGGCCAUCAUAUGAGUAACCACAGGGCUUGAACCUGAGACCACAGAGGGAGUAAACCUCUUGGUCCCAAGCUCUUACCACUGGGCCACCACCUAGAAGGUUUCUUCACCAAGUUUCUUGAUAAUGCUAGUAUUUGUGCCAACGAUUAAUUGAUUUAAGUAGAUGAAGAAUAAUCAUUCAACCCCAAUCUCAAGUGCGAGUUAUGUCCACUAGCUUUUUAAUUAAAUAUAAUGUUGAUAUUCGAUUUAUUCUUUCAAUGUAUAUAUUAUGAAUUUUAAGUUCAUCGUAAAUGCAAUUAAUUCUUUUUUUUAACA
Long non-coding RNA from Populus trichocarpa (black cottonwood), 494 nucleotides. RefSeq lists it as uncharacterized. The record is from RefSeq and is a predicted model, not a curated record. Lineage: Eukaryota; Viridiplantae; Streptophyta; Magnoliopsida; Malpighiales; Salicaceae. The transcript is spliced from 2 exons.